Molecule: transfer RNA, 16 nt
Filed under: Salvelinus alpinus alpinus
Lineage: Eukaryota; Metazoa; Chordata; Actinopteri; Salmoniformes; Salmonidae
Also listed under: 4 other names
Description: partial tRNA-Phe
Source: RNAcentral
GCUGGCGUAGCUUAAU